This 618-nucleotide long non-coding RNA is filed under the name Struthio camelus australis. RNAcentral describes it as "lncRNA (ENSSCUG00000000224.1)". Lineage: Eukaryota; Metazoa; Chordata; Aves; Struthioniformes; Struthionidae. The record is from RNAcentral.
GGGACUCCGGCUCCCCGCAUGCCUCGCUGUGUGUUCUAGAGCUGCCACGGGUGGGACUACGGCUCCCAGCAUGCCUCAUUCCCCUUUCUGGACCUUAGAUAGCUGUCAUCUCCCCACAGGCCCUGCAAUGUUCUAGAGCUGCUGGAGCAGGACGACGGCUCCCAGCAUGCCCUGCUGCCUGUCCUAGAGCUGCCAGGAGCUGGACGACACCUCCCAGCAUGCCCUGCUGUGCAUUCUAGAGCUACCAGAGGUGGACUACAUCACCCAGCAUGCCCUGCUGUGUGUUGUCGAGCUGCUGCAGCUAGACUAGGUCUCCCAGCAUGCCCUGUUGUGUGUUCUAGAGCCGCUAGAGCUAGGCUGGGGCUCCCAGCAUGCCCUGCUGCAUGUUCUCGAGCUCCUGGAGCUAGACCAGGUCUCCCAGCAUGCCCUGCUCUGCGUUCUAGACCUCCUGGAAAUAGACUACGUCUCCCAGCAUGCCCUGCUGUGUCUUCUAGAGCCGCCAGGAGCAGGAUGACACCUCCCAGCAUGCCCUGCUGUGUGUUCUUGAGCUGCUGGAGCCAGACCAGGUCUCCCAGCAUGCCCUGCUCUGCGUUCUAGACCUCCUAGAGGUGGACUACG